GNAGGNCACAAGCGUNGUCCGGAAUCACUGGGUGUAAAGGGAGCGCNGGCGGGAGAACAAGUNGGAAGUGAAAUCCAUGGGCUCAACCCAUGAACNGCUUUCAAAACUGUUUUUCUNGAGUAGUGCAGAGGUAGGCGGAAUUCCCGGUGUAGCGGUGGAAUGCGUAGAUAUCGGGAGGAACACCAGUGGCGAAGGCGGCCUACUGGGCACCAACUGACGCUGAGGCUCGAAAGUGUGGGUAGCAAACAGGAUUAGAUACCCUGGUAGUCCACGCCGUAAACGAUGACUGCUAGGUGUCGGGUGGCAAAGCCAUUCGGUGCCGCAGCAAACGCAAUAAGUAGUCCACCUGGGGAGU
RNAcentral lists this ribosomal RNA (355 nucleotides) under uncultured bacterium. Its description in RNAcentral is "bacterial SSU rRNA". It matches the Rfam family "Bacterial small subunit ribosomal RNA", at positions 527 to 881 of the family's 1533-position model. The record is from RNAcentral.